This 174-nucleotide ribosomal RNA is filed under the name uncultured bacterium. Its description in RNAcentral is "partial 16S ribosomal RNA". It matches the Rfam family "Bacterial small subunit ribosomal RNA", at positions 1313 to 1500 of the family's 1533-position model. The record is from RNAcentral.
CGCCUACAUGAAGCUGGAAUUGCUAGUAAUCACAGGUCAGCAUACUGUGGUGAAUACGUUCCCGGGCCUUGUACACACCGCCCGUCACACCAUGAGAGUUGAGAAUACCCGAAGCCCAUGUCAAAGUGGUCGAAGGUAGGCUUGAUGAUUGGGGUGAAGUCGUAACAAGGUAGC